CAUACACACAAACACACACACACACACACACACACACAGGGCUCAUAUUUUAGACCACAGGGCUAAUGUGCAAUAUCACAUACAGAAAACCACAGGUCACUGCCUAAGUUGAGCUGUCAACUUUCGCCAUGCGCCUAUCACAACUACCUCUCUUCUUCACUUCCUCACACACACACACACACACACACACACACACACACACACACACACACACUGUCAACACAAACAACCAACUUUUUUAAAAGCUAUACACUGAUGUGAAAGGACCUUGAUGUAAUGUCAAUGUUUACACAGAUCUUUUAAGGCAGGUAAUGCUGAGACUGCACAUAAAGAGGGAGAUGCCACAAGGGUGUGUGAGACAACAGAAGCAUCACUGAAUGUGAAAAACAGCAAGCGAUAAGUGCGCUUGGGCAGGUGCUUACCCUCUGGCGGCAUCAGGACUCGGUUGUUCUGUGUGCACCAGCCCACAGGGUGCAGGUCUGCCGUCAUGACGUCGCACCAAAAGUCCGCCUUACGGUCAUCUCCGUAGCCACAGUAGCGUAGCAACAGCAGCUGGCCACAGGUGGUGAUGAUGGUGACCACCCAGUAGGUGUCCGGGCUGCCCUUAUUGGCCACCUCCAGCUUCAUGCCGGGCUGGAAGCUGCUCUGCAGGCUGAUCUCCACCUGGAACCACCAAUCAGAAAUCAGCACAGUAAGCUCCUGAUGAGACCACAGCUGGACAUGGUAUAGUGUAAAGGCCACAGUUGGUCAGACAAACAUCUUGGCUACCACCACUUCACAUCCAUAUCACUGUGUCAUCUUCAUACACUGACAAGAAGUUAUUUGGCAGACGCUUUCGUUCCAGCAGACUUGAGGAAGAGAUUCUGACAGUGGCAAGGUACCUAGAACUCGGAACAGGAAGUACAGAACCCUGGAGAUUCUGGCAGUGUCUUCAGACAGUAAGCGCAGAACCCUGAGCUCACCUGAGACCUGCCGCUCCAGCUUCCCAUUGGACGGACUUGUGCUUGGCCCACCCGAUGACAUCAUCAACCGCUCCUGCGCGCCAGCUGACGACUGCAUCCUGCAGCGGUGGUUGUCGUGGUAACCUCUUGUCACCAACCCGAUUCUCAGAGCAUGCAACGCCGUCGCCCAGCCUACAAUGCAAAGAGGUCAAAGGUCAGGUCACCUUGUCUGUCAACAAGAAGAACACAUGACCCAUGUCGGAGUUUGCCUACUGCAGCUUACAUUCAUAGUACUUUCUGUUGGGUAGCAAAAACAGUUUUAACAGGUA
Molecule: long non-coding RNA, 1270 nt
Organism: Alosa sapidissima (American shad)
Lineage: Eukaryota; Metazoa; Chordata; Actinopteri; Clupeiformes; Clupeidae
Exons: 4
Source: RefSeq, a predicted model, not a curated record